UUGGAUUCAAUUAAUCAAAUUAAUUAUCCAUUUCGAUCACUUUGUUGUUCAUAAUCUUCCCUCGACAAGGCCACAUGGCGGACCCUCUAGGGACCCCAUGUUUCUAGUGACAGUCCGUUAAAAAAUCAAAAUGGAGGACAGAAGCGUAAAAAAAAAAGUUCAGUGGUUUGUUGACGUUACAAAUCCAGCUUUCAGGAUUGUGUGGAUAACUCAAUAAAAGUUUUAUGAUAAGUGAUUGGAGUGUUGCACUUUCAGUGCGAAAGUGCAAGGAAAUCGAGAACUGAAGUUCCAGGGUGUAUUUCUGGCAUGCCACCGCUGUCAGGAGGACUCGGUGAACGUAUUGAGGAGUACGAGGUACUGAAUCUCCUUGGUAAGGGCGGAUUUGCCAGCGUUUACAGGGCAAGAUGCCUGAAGACGAGGAUGGAAGUGGCGAUCAAAAUGAUCGACAAGAGAAUGAUGGAAGCAGCUGGGAUGUUGGAUAGAGUGGCCCAGGAAGUGUCUAUUCAUUCUCGACUGAAGCACCCAGCGAUACUGGAGCUCUACACUGCCUUUGAGGAUAUUAACUACGUCUACAUGGUGUUGGAAUUGUGCCACAAUGGAGAAUUACAGAGGUUCUUGAAGGCUGAAUAUCCACAUGGAUUCCCGGAGGAUCAAGCUGCUCAAAUAAUAAAACAAGUCGUUCAAGGACUUCUGUACCUCCACUGUCACCAAAUCCUCCACCGAGACAUGUCCCUCUCGAAUUUGUUAUUGACUCGAGACAUGCAAGUGAAGAUAGCAGACUUUGGUCUGGCAACGCAGCUCUCCAGGCCCGACGAGAAGCACAUGACGAUGUGCGGAACGCCGAAUUAUAUUUCCCCAGAAGUGGCGACAAGAUCUUCCCACGGAUUAGAGGCCGAUGUCUGGGGUCUAGGUUGCAUGCUAUACACUCUCCUAGUCGGUAGACCGCCAUUUGACACAGAUGCUGUUAAAAGUACUCUGACGAGGGUCGUCAUGGCGGAUUACAAGAUCCCUUCGCAUUUAUCGGAUAUGGCGAGGGAUUUGAUCGAGCGGUUACUGAGGAAAAAUCCCCUGGAGAGGAUCAAACUCAAGGACAUAUCGAAGCAUCCUUUUGUUGCUCGGCUAGAUAAGGAGAGACCUCAUCAUGAAAAAAUGUUGCGAGUGAUGUCCGGCGAUGUAAUGAUAGACUCGGGUCUGGGGCGAACUCUCUCCUCCUGCGGCCGGGUGCCUCGACUCCGUUCUCGUUCAGAGGAACGGGCCUCGACGGCCCCAGCGCUGAUAACUCCCCUGGGUCCCCAGUUCUCCGCUCGUAGUGAUCCAACCACCGACCCAAUCACCUUAAGUCAUCACUCCAACGCCCGGGCGCGGCACAUCGAUUGCCCCCCGGAGAACUCAGUUCUCUCUGGGAUAAUUCCUCCAGGAAGUCGGGUGAUCCCCCAGAACGUCCAAAGCUCCCAGCGCAGUGGCUACAGCUGUAAUAAGUUAGGCGACGAGAGGCAGAAGCGAAGGGAGAACCCAGUGCCAUCCAGGGAUAAUCCUCCCCUAGACCCAGAGCCCCAGGUUAAGCUCCAGAUUCCCCCCCUGAACACUCAACGGCUCCUUCCCGUUCGUCACAGGACGAAGAAUUUUAUCCUGACGAUUUUGGAUAACGGAGAAGUUUGCAUUGAAUUUUUGAGGAAGAAAAAUAAUUCAGUUGAUAAAAUAAGCGACGUCUGUAGAAUAUCCAGUGAUGGACUUCGAAUUGUCCUCUACCGGCCUGACAUCAGGGACAUUGGAGACGAGCCACCGCCCCUGCCCUCACGAGGUGCUGACAAUAUCUACUCUUACGAGAGCCUCCCGACGAGGCUCCACAGAAAAUACCUUUACGCUGCGAAAUUCGUGAAACUUGCGAAAUCAAAAACAUCGAAGUUGACGCUCUACACAGCCAAAGGAAAAUGCGCUUUCAUGGAGAAUGGACCCCAUCCUGACUGCGAAAUGCUCUUCUACGAUGGGAUCAAGGUGACGAAGGUCGAUGGGGUUGUUAAACUUGUGGAGAGAGAGGGAGGACGUAUUUUCAGUGAGGGAGACGUACCAGAGGAGAUGGAGGAGUACCUGGAGGCCUACCAGGAGUGCUAUCAGAGGUGCCUCCUCCUGGAGUCCUCCCUGGCCUCGUUGGAAUCGGCAACAGGACAUUCGUAUUUUCCAGCCAUCGUGGGACGCAGACCUGUGGCCCUGAGCGAUGGGACUCAGGGGAAGGAGAACGUGUCCAGAACUAUGUGCAGUCCUUUGGUUAUGCCUUCCUUUGAUGCUACGUGCUCAGUAGUCUCAGGCGUAACAACACGUUCGCGGAAGACGAAUUCAAUGCGCGUAUCUACCUACAACUUCAACAAAGUGAAUGUUCCCGGUAUUGGAGUUGCAACUCAAAUGCCAUCCGGUGAUAUCAAAGUGGAGUACAAAGACGGCUCAUCACUGAUGGUGAGCCCUCAAAGCAUCGGAGGGGGAAUAGUUUAUGAAAGUACAACAGGGGCUAUUACCAGAUACUCCAAGAAUCACCAGUACAAUUCAGAAGUGCCUUAUGCGGUUAGUCAAAAAUUGAAGAACCUACCGACUGUCAUAAAACAUCUCGCCCAACCAAAAUACAGGAAUUUGAGAUAAUUUUUAUGGCUGUAGAAUUUCUCCUGAGAUUAAUGAGUGGAAUGUGUAUCAUACGCUUCAACGAAUUGGAGAUAUAAUUUAUAGGAUUAUUUUUGUAUCAGAUUAAAGCGGUAUACUUGAGGUCUCCCAAUAAACAAAAAGGUCUCUCACCGUAAGAAAUGAACCAAUAAAAGUGUCAGUUACUGUACAAACUUUUCCGAUGGCCCUCACAAAAUGAUAAUACCCCAGCUCUUGUCGUAAUGACCUCGUUG
Molecule: RNA transcript, 2882 nt
Organism: Diachasmimorpha longicaudata
Lineage: Eukaryota; Metazoa; Arthropoda; Insecta; Hymenoptera; Braconidae
Gene: SAK
Gene name: serine/threonine-protein kinase PLK4
Exons: 5
Source: RefSeq, a predicted model, not a curated record